CGAAAUCGGUAGACGCUACGGACUUAAUAGAAUUGAGCCUUGGUAUGGAAAAAUCCGUUGGUUUUAUAAACCGUGAGGGUUCAAGUCCCUCUAUCCCCA
RNAcentral lists this transfer RNA (99 nucleotides) under Taxus baccata (English yew). RNAcentral describes it as "partial tRNA-Leu". It matches the Rfam family "tRNA", at positions 11 to 71 of the family's 71-position model. Rfam says of the family: Transfer RNA (tRNA) molecules are approximately 80 nucleotides in length. Their secondary structure includes four short double-helical elements and three loops (D, anti-codon, and T loops). RNAcentral also lists the same sequence under 6 other names. The record is from RNAcentral. Lineage: Eukaryota; Viridiplantae; Streptophyta; Pinopsida; Cupressales; Taxaceae.